UGGGGAAUAUUGGACAAUGGGCGCAAGCCUGAUCCAGCCAUGCCGCGUGCAGGAUGACGGUCCUAUGGAUUGUAAACUGCUUUUGUACAGGAAGAAACAGUUCUACGUGUAGAACCUUGACGGUACUGUAAGAAUAAGGAUCGGCUAACUCCGUGCCAGCAGCCGCGGUAAUACGGAGGAUCCAAGCGUUAUCCGGAAUCAUUGGGUUUAAAGGGUCCGUAGGCGGUUAGAUAAGUCAGUGGUGAAAGCCCAUCGCUCAACGGUGGAACGGCCAUUGAUACUGUCUGACUUGAAUUAUUAGGAAGUAACUAGAAUAUGUAGUGUAGCGGUGAAAUGCUUAGAGAUUACAUGGAAUACCAAUUGCGAAGGCAGGUUACUACUAAUGGAUUGACGCUGAUGGACGAAAGCGUGGGUAGCGAACAGGAUUAGAUACCCAUGUAGUCCCUGAGCGGGCUGGCAAGGCGCAU
RNAcentral lists this ribosomal RNA (467 nucleotides) under uncultured bacterium. Its description in RNAcentral is "bacterial SSU rRNA". It matches the Rfam family "Bacterial small subunit ribosomal RNA", at positions 355 to 825 of the family's 1533-position model. The record is from RNAcentral.